This 616-nucleotide ribosomal RNA is filed under the name Curvularia akaiiensis. Its description in RNAcentral is "partial large subunit ribosomal RNA". It matches the Rfam family "Eukaryotic large subunit ribosomal RNA", at positions 37 to 668 of the family's 3401-position model. The record is from RNAcentral. Lineage: Eukaryota; Fungi; Ascomycota; Dothideomycetes; Pleosporales; Pleosporaceae.
UGCAUAUCAAUAAGCGGAGGAAAAGAAACCAACAGGGAUUGCCCUAGUAACGGCGAGUGAAGCGGCAACAGCUCAAAUUUGAAAUCUGGCUCUUUUAGGGUCCGAGUUGUAAUUUGCAGAGGGCGCUUUGGCUUUGGCAGCGGUCCAAGUUCCUUGGAACAGGACGUCACAGAGGGUGAGAAUCCCGUACGUGGUCGCUAGCUAUUGCCGUGUAAAGCCCCUUCGACGAGUCGAGUUGUUUGGGAAUGCAGCUCUAAAUGGGAGGUAAAUUUCUUCUAAAGCUAAAUAUUGGCCAGAGACCGAUAGCGCACAAGUAGAGUGAUCGAAAGAUGAAAAGCACUUUGGAAAGAGAGUCAAACAGCACGUGAAAUUGUUGAAAGGGAAGCGCUUGCAGCCAGACUUGCUUGCAGUUGCUCAUCCGGGCUUUUGCCCGGUGCACUCUUCUGCAGGCAGGCCAGCAUCAGUUUGGGCGGUGGGAUAAAGGUCUCUGACACGUUCCUUCCUUCGGGUUGGCCAUAUAGGGGAGACGUCAUACCACCAGCCUGGACUGAGGUCCGCGCAUCUGCUAGGAUGCUGGCGUAAUGGCUGUAAGCGGCCCGUCUUGAAACACGGACCA